UACGUAGGGGGCAAGCGUUGUCCGGAUUUAUUGGGCGGAAAGAGCGUGUAGGCGGUUAGGUAGGUCCGUUGUGAAAACUCGAGGCUCAACCUCGAGACGCCGAUGGAAACCAUCUGACUAGAGUCCGGAAGAGGAGAGUGGAAUUCCUGGUGUAGCGGUGAAAUGCGCAGAUAUCAGGAAGAACACCCGUGGCUAAGGCGGCUCUCUAGUACGGUACUGACGCUGAGACGUGAAAGCGUGGGGAGCGAACAGG
This 253-nucleotide ribosomal RNA is filed under the name uncultured bacterium. Its description in RNAcentral is "partial 16S ribosomal RNA". It matches the Rfam family "Bacterial small subunit ribosomal RNA", at positions 524 to 776 of the family's 1533-position model. The record is from RNAcentral.